GUCUGCGCGCGCCUGUGUGCAGGUUACCGGAGAGGGAGAUCCAUUCUUGCAGAGGGGCCCUCUGAAGACUCCUUUAAUGCCCCGGUAGUGACCAUUGCUGAGAUGUCUCGAACUGAUGACCAGGGCGAAUAAAGUCACCAGGCAGGAAGCCGCACUGAGAAUUAAAGACUCGUGCAGAAAUGAGCUGUGGAAGGAGAAGGAGGCUCUUGCAGAGUCAGACAUAUUCUAUGCAAAGAAAAUGUGUUCAUAAUCAGGUGAAAUCUUUGCCAGAAAAAAAGGGGGGAUUUUAAAAGGAUAUCGUGUGGCUCAGUCUAUAAUUACAAUCUCACUCUUCAUAAACAUUGGCCUAUUAAUAACGUCCCCAGAGAAGGUUUCAUUAUUUUGUGGACAUUUCCAAAACAGUGAUCAAAUCUCUUUAAUUUCACUGUUUGCAAUAGACAAGAUAUGGAAGCAACCUAAAU
Molecule: long non-coding RNA, 461 nt
Organism: Cervus elaphus (red deer)
Lineage: Eukaryota; Metazoa; Chordata; Mammalia; Artiodactyla; Cervidae
Exons: 5
Source: RefSeq, a predicted model, not a curated record